CUGUAGUCUAGUUCUACUGUAGUCUAGUUCUACUGUAGUCUAGUUCUUCUGUAGUGUAGUUCUACUGUAGUGUAGUUCUACUGUAGUGUAGUUCUUCUGUAGUCUAGUUCUACUGUAGUGUAGUUCUACUGUAGUGUAGUUCUACUGUAGUGUAGUUCUACUGUAGUGUAUUCUUCUGUAGUGUAGUUCUACUGUAGUGUAGUUCUACUGUAGUCUAGUUCUACUGUAGUGUAGUUCUACUGUAGUGUAGUUCUACUGUAGUCUAGUUCUAUUGUAGUGUAGUUCAACUGUAGUGUAUUCUUCUGGAGUGUAGUUCUAUUCUAAAGUAUUUAAACUGGAACAACCAUUUCAGUAAUUGAGUCAAUAUAUCCAAGUAACAGAUUAAUAGUUUUUCUGUAUCAAGGUCAGAAGGCUUUGUAUUCUUGAGUCUUUCCAAAAGUGAACAACCUGGAAAAACUUCCCCCGAACAGAGAGAUGGAGGACAUUCAUCACAGCUGUAUCUGCAGAGUGUUGAGGUGAGAUGACAUGAUGAACAUCUCUGUAUUAACUCUACCAGGUUACAGCUGUAUCUGCAGAGUGUUGAGGUUAAACUAACAAUCCCAACUAAAUAACUACAUAGAGAAGGAUGUGAGAGGAGAAUGUG
Molecule: long non-coding RNA, 643 nt
Organism: Oncorhynchus tshawytscha (Chinook salmon)
Lineage: Eukaryota; Metazoa; Chordata; Actinopteri; Salmoniformes; Salmonidae
Source: Ensembl